Molecule: ribosomal RNA, 254 nt
Filed under: uncultured bacterium
Lineage: Bacteria
Description: partial 16S ribosomal RNA
Rfam family: Bacterial small subunit ribosomal RNA
Source: RNAcentral
UACGUAGGGUGCGAGCGUUGUCCGGAAUUAUUGGGCGUAAAGAGCUCGUAGGCGGUGUGUCGCGUCGAUCGUGAAAACUUUCAGCUUAACUGGGAGCUUGCGGUCGAUACGGGCAUCACUGGAGUUCGGCAGGGGAGACUGGAAUUCAAGGUGUAGCGGUGAAAUGCGCAGAUAUCUUGAGGAACACCGGUGGCGAAGGCGGGUCUCUGGGCCGAUACUGACGCUGAGGAGCGAAAGCUAGGGUAGCAAACGGG